UGGGGAAUCUUGCGCAAUGGGCGAAAGCCUGACGCAGCGACGCCGCGUGAGUGAUGAAGGCCUUCGGGUUGUAAAGCUCUGUGGGGAGAGAAGAAUAAGUGCGGGCUAAUACUCCGCAUGAUGACGGUAUCUCCUUAGCAAGCACCGGCUAACUCUGUGCCAGCAGCCGCGGUAAGACAGAGGGUGCAAACGUUGUUCGGAAUUACUGGGCGUAAAGCGAGUGUAGGCGGUUUGGUAAGUCGGAUGUGAAAGCCCCGGGCUCAACCCGGGAAGUGCACUCGAUACUGCCAAGCUAGAGUAUCGGAGAGGUUGGUGGAAUUCUCGGUGUAGAGGUGAAAUGCGUAGAGAUUUGGAGGAAUACCAGUGGCGAAGGCGGCCCCCUGGCACAACACUGACGCUCAGGUGCGAAAGCGUGGGGAGCAAACAGGAUUAGAUACCCCGGUAGUCCCUGAGCGGGCUGGCAAGGCGCAU
RNAcentral lists this ribosomal RNA (471 nucleotides) under uncultured bacterium. RNAcentral describes it as "bacterial SSU rRNA". It matches the Rfam family "Bacterial small subunit ribosomal RNA", at positions 355 to 825 of the family's 1533-position model. The record is from RNAcentral.